Molecule: transfer RNA, 52 nt
Filed under: Strongyloides ratti
Lineage: Eukaryota; Metazoa; Nematoda; Chromadorea; Rhabditida; Strongyloididae
Rfam family: tRNA
About the family: Transfer RNA (tRNA) molecules are approximately 80 nucleotides in length. Their secondary structure includes four short double-helical elements and three loops (D, anti-codon, and T loops).
Source: Rfam by way of RNAcentral
GUGCGGUUAGCACUCAGGACUUUGAAUCCUGCGACCCGAGUUCAAAUCUCGG